This is a non-coding RNA of Grammomys surdaster, 147 nucleotides long. The record is from RefSeq and is a predicted model, not a curated record. Lineage: Eukaryota; Metazoa; Chordata; Mammalia; Rodentia; Muridae.
AAGGUAAGCUUCAUUGGUACUGUUGCCACGGUGAUAAUGGCUGUGCCGUGUUAUUGUUGAUCCACCAACAGUCAGAGAAGCUUUGCAGUCAAGAUAUUGCUUAGCAGAUGGAACGGUUUCUGUUGGACACUAAGUACUGCUACAAAA